RNAcentral lists this small RNA (556 nucleotides) under Pan troglodytes (chimpanzee). RNAcentral describes it as "processed transcript". Lineage: Eukaryota; Metazoa; Chordata; Mammalia; Primates; Hominidae. The record is from RNAcentral.
AAUCUGAAGAAUGAAGUCACCUUUGAUUCUAAAUGAGUCGGAAAGUUUCCUGCCUCGUCGGGCGCAGCUUGAGCUUGCCCCAUCGGCCGCGAUCGGUGGAGGCUGCGGCGGAUCCAGCCCGGGGCCUCAAGGCCUCUCCCCAACCUCCGGGCCAGUCUCCCUCCCCCACCUUCUCGUCCGCCGGGAACUGCGGCUGCCGUCCCUGAGAUGCGACCCUCGCGGGGGCGACCCUGAGGGGUGGCGGCCCAUGUGCUGAGCGGCGGCCCAGAAGCCUAGGCGUCCGGGGACCAACUUCCUGCCGCCUGGGAACCCGAGCCUCCCGGUGUCGCGCCUCGCUCGGUCCGCACCGGCCUGCGGAGCCGGGUCCCCGCCCUGGUCGCGGGGACGCUCGCCAGGUGCCCAGGAGUCCCGACUUGGCCACUGCCCGCGCCCCGCCGGCCUCCACGCCUCGCGCGGAGGACCUCAGCCACCGCCGUCUCGGAUCGUGCCAGGCCGGGGACCGCGUCCCCCUUCCCGGGGCGGCCUCCGCUCAGCAGGGGCGAUGCAGACUGUCCCG